This 282-nucleotide ribosomal RNA is filed under the name uncultured Bacteroides sp. RNAcentral describes it as "partial 16S ribosomal RNA". It matches the Rfam family "Bacterial small subunit ribosomal RNA", at positions 65 to 339 of the family's 1533-position model. Lineage: Bacteria; Pseudomonadati; Bacteroidota; Bacteroidia; Bacteroidales; Bacteroidaceae. The record is from RNAcentral.
AGGGGCAGCAUGGUCUUAGCUUGCUGAGUUUGAUGGCGACCGGCGCACGGGUGAGUAACACGUAUCCAACCUGCCGAUGACUCGGGGAUAGCCUUUCGAAAGAAAGAUUAAUACCCGAUGGUAUAAUCAGACCGCAUGGUCUUGUUAUUAAAGAAUUUCGAUAAUCGAUGGGGAUGCGUUCCAUUAGUUUGUUGGCGGGGUAACGGCCCACCAAGACAUCGAUGGAUAGGGGUUCUGAGAGGAAGGUCCCCCACAUUGGAACUGAGACACGGUCCAAACUCC